ACACAAUUACUGACCCACUGCCAAACCGGUCAUGCUGGAGGAUGUUGCAGGCAGCAGAACGUUCUCCACGGCGUCUCCAGACUCUGUCACGUCUGUCACAUGUGCUCAGUGUGAACCUGCUUUCAUCUGUGAAGAGCACAGGACGCCAGUGGCGAAUUUGCCAAUCUUGGUGUUCUCUGGCAAAUGCCAAACGUCCUGCAUGGUGUUGGGCUGUAAGCACAACCCCCACCUGUGGACGUCGGGCCCUCAUAC
Molecule: long non-coding RNA, 252 nt
Filed under: Pelobates cultripes (western spadefoot toad)
Lineage: Eukaryota; Metazoa; Chordata; Amphibia; Anura; Pelobatidae
Source: RNAcentral